RNAcentral lists this RNase P RNA (340 nucleotides) under Candidatus Omnitrophota bacterium. RNAcentral describes it as "Candidatus Omnitrophica bacterium (sediment metagenome) RNase P RNA component class A". It matches the Rfam family "Bacterial RNase P class A". From Rfam's summary of the family: Ribonuclease P (RNase P) is a ubiquitous endoribonuclease, found in archaea, bacteria and eukarya as well as chloroplasts and mitochondria. Lineage: Bacteria; Pseudomonadati; Candidatus Omnitrophota. The record is from RNAcentral.
AAACAAGUCAAGAUGACCGCCCCGAUGCUUAAGGCGUCAGGGAGGAAAGUCCGAGCUUCAAAGGAUACUACAUCCCGGUAAUGCGGGACACCCUGCGAGGCUCCCUAACGAAAGUUUUGGAGCGAAGCAUGGGGAGGAUUAGAGCCACAGUGACGAAGCCCUUAACUGGGAGUGAAACGCGGCAAUCUCUGUAGGAAGCAAUGCCAAAUAGGGGGAGAGGAGCGAUCCGUUCCGUUAUAUCCUCGGGUAGGCUGCAAGAAUUCACGGCGUAAGCGGUGAAGUGAGUCGAAUGGUCAUCACCCGCAAGGGAACAUAACUCGGCUUAUUGACUUUUAUAUUA